CGGCGGGUCGGGCCGGGGCCGGGCCGCAGUGAUUUUCAAAGGAGAUUGUCACUUGAACUACUGCCGUAACUUUCUGAAGUCUUUCUGUUUUUCUGUUUGAAAGGAAGCUUGGCACAAUGUCCAUUGUCUUCUCCAUUUGUGAAACACUAAGUGGAGUGUGGGCAGGCUGAUACGCAGAGCAAAACCUGAAAAUAUACUAGUGAUCCUGAGCCUGGGGGAUGCAGCUAAACCCAGCCAAAAGGAAUUUCUGGAAAGCUGAUCCUGGUUUACAUUGUCUUGAGUUUGGCUUUGCCAACUUCACCAGUCAUUUAUGAAAAAGCAAACAAAAAACUCAAACCAAAUCAGACAAAAACCAAAACAAAUAAAGAAACAAACAAACCCAUGCAAACUGAUCCAACAAAUAGAUAAAAAACCCCAAAUAAAACCAACGGAAAUGAAGAGUUUGUAUUAGUUGUGAGGAUAGCACAGCAGGCAAAUGGCUGCUUCCCACAGGAUCACCAUCAAAAGCCACGUAGAACAGCUGCUCCAAAAUAUACCCAACAGGAGAAAAAGAAAAAGUGAUGCAUGGCAACUUUGGGGGCAGCUCCACAUUCAGGUGAAGGAUGAGCACGCAGUGGUACAGAUCCAGCAUUGCCCACCCUCCAGGCUGCUGUUUGCUCCUGAUGAAAGACCCUUGCAGGACUGUGGCCCCUCUCAGUGCAGUGUCAGUCACUGCCAGAGCUCUCAGCUGAGCCACUGGCAUUUGCAGAGUGACAUCCAGCCACAAUCCUACUGCCUGCUGAGCAUCUGUGGAAGAUCCUGAGCAUCUUCAUGCCUAGGACUGCCGCUUCCCCGGCUGGCUGAUGACAAGAGAGGGGGCGGCAGGCUCCCCCUGGAGCUCCGUUGAAUCCCACUUGUCAGUUGUUUUGGUGCAAUAUAAAACUCAGGCAGCGCACACGGGUCCCAGGGAAACUUUAUUUGAUGGUAAACUUCCCCUUUUCCUCUCCUGGGACCCCGAUCAAGGGGCAAACAAAGACUUAAAUGUGGGGGGAGGUCAGGGGUAGGCACAACUUUCAACAAAUCAGGAGAGUUGGGAGUAAAAAUCCUAGGCAGGGAUAACAGCAGUGAACCAAUAACAUUCCAAAGGAGGAAAAGCGGUUUCAAUAAGCGGCUAAAAUUUGGAGAAAUAGAAACUGGAAACUAGUUGACGAAAUAACUGGGAAAAGGCGGAGACAAAAGGAAAACAGCACCAAGGAAAACCACCAAAUCACAAAUCAAACCAUAAACCUACUAAUAAACCAAAAAGCACGAUACGACAUCUGCCCGUUCUUAAAUACAAAAAGGACAUUAAAGUUUAUCUAAAAGAACAAAAGUUAUUAGUGUUAUAAAUCAUAAAAUUUUACAAACGUAAAAUAAAACGAAUUAUAAUUUAAAAAUUUUUCAAAAACUCAAAUAAUUUUGGAUAUGUCUAAUUUAGCUUAUACUUGUCUUGUUUUUCACUGAUUAUGCAUUUUAACUAUAAUUUUAUUCAUUUCUUCAAUUCACUGCGAAAUAAUAUCUUAAUUUUUGAAUAAUUAGCUGGUAAAAAUUGGGCUCAAAAGGUAAUUAAAAAUUGUUUUAAAUUGUCAAACAAAAACUCAAAAGUGGCAAACUUAAAAAGAAUUUAACAUUUCAUAGAAAGCUUACCAUUUCAUAAAAGGAUGUUCCAUAGAAAGAUGUUUCAUAGUUUCCAGGAGUUAAAUGUGUAAAACAAACAAAUUUAUUUCAUGUUAAAUAAAUAUAAAUUUUCUUUUCA
Molecule: long non-coding RNA, 1774 nt
Organism: Passer domesticus (house sparrow)
Lineage: Eukaryota; Metazoa; Chordata; Aves; Passeriformes; Passeridae
Exons: 2
Source: RefSeq, a predicted model, not a curated record